Molecule: ribosomal RNA, 1170 nt
Filed under: Kytococcus sp. SBT371
Lineage: Bacteria; Bacillati; Actinomycetota; Actinomycetes; Micrococcales; Kytococcaceae
Description: bacterial SSU rRNA
Rfam family: Bacterial small subunit ribosomal RNA
Source: RNAcentral
GGAUAAGCGCUGGAAACGGCGUCUAAUACUGGAUACGACCGACCCUCGCAUGGGGUGUUGGUGGAAAGAUUUAUCGGUGGUGGAUGGACUCGCGGCCUAUCAGCUUGUUGGUGGGGUAAUGGCCUACCAAGGCGACGACGGGUAGCCGGCCUGAGAGGGCGACCGGCCACACUGGGACUGAGACACGGCCCAGACUCCUACGGGAGGCAGCAGUGGGGAAUAUUGCACAAUGGGCGAAAGCCUGAUGCAGCGACGCCGCGUGAGGGAUGACGGCCUUCGGGUUGUAAACCUCUUUCAGCAGGGAAGAAGCUUUUGUGACGGUACCUGCAGAAGAAGCACCGGGCUAACUACGUGCCAGCAGCCGCGGUAAUACGUAGGGUGCGAGCGUUGUCCGGAAUUAUUGGGCGUAAAGAGCUUGUAGGCGGUUUGUCGCGUCUGCUGUGAAAAUUCAGGGCUUAACCCUGGACGUGCAGUGGGUACGGGCAGACUAGAGUGUGGUAGGGGAGACUGGAAUUCCUGGUGUAGCGGUGGAAUGCGCAGAUAUCAGGAGGAACACCGAUGGCGAAGGCAGGUCUCUGGGCCAUUACUGACGCUGAGAAGCGAAAGCAUGGGGAGCGAACAGGAUUAGAUACCCUGGUAGUCCAUGCCGUAAACGUUGGGCGCUAGGCGUGGGUCUCAUUCCACGAGAUCCGUGUCGCAGCUAACGCAUUAAGCGCCCCGCCUGGGGAGUACGGCCGCAAGGCUAAAACUCAAAGGAAUUGACGGGGGCCCGCACAAGCGGCGGAGCAUGCUGAUUAAUUCGAUGCAACGCGAAGAACCUUACCAAGGCUUGACAUGCACCGGAUCGCCUCAGAGAUGGGGUUUCCCUUUGGGCUGGUGCACAGGUGGUGCAUGGUUGUCGUCAGCUCGUGUCGUGAGAUGUUGGGUUAAGUCCCGCAACGAGCGCAACCCUCGUUCUAUGUUGCCAGCACGUAAUGGUGGGGACUCAUAGGAGACUGCCGGGGUCAACUCGGAGGAAGGUGGGGAUGACGUCAAAUCAUCAUGCCCCUUAUGUCUUGGGCUUCAAGCAUGCUACAAUGGCCGGUACAGAGGGUUGCGAAGCCGUGAGGUGGAGCGAAUCCCAAAAAACCGGUCUCAGUUCGGAUUGGGGUCUGCAACUCGACCCCAUGA